ACACUGACGUCGCGACGCAUAUCAAUAAGCGGAGGAAAAGAAACUAACUAGGAUUCCCUUAGUAACGGCGAGUGAAGCGGGAAGAGCUCAAAUUUGAAAUCUUCAAGGUUCUACCUUGACGAAUUGUAGUUUAAAGAAGUGUUUUCUGUUGAAGUUUUGGUAAAAGUUCUUUGGAAUAGAACAUCAUAGAGGGUGAGAAUCCCGUAUUUGGUACCAUUCUUUCUAGCUGUGUGAUACACUUUCAAAGAGUCGGAUUGUUUGGGAAUGCAGUCCAAAAUGGGUGGUAAAUUUCAUCUAAAGCUAAAUAUUGGCGAGAGACCGAUAGCGAACAAGUACCGUGAGGGAAAGAUGAAAAGAACUUUGAAAAGAGAGUUAAACAGUACGUGAAAUUGUCAAAAGGGAAGCGUUUGACACCAGUGUUGUUUUCUCGAAAAUCAAUUAAAAAUGGCCGGAUUUUGUGUUGUAUUGACUUUAUCAGCUUUCUGCACUUUUUUCUUGUCUUUUUUAAUGCACUUUUCGUUUAACAAGUCAACAUCAAUUUCUUCUGUUGUAAAAGAGUCAUUGGAAGGUGGCUUUCAUUCCGGUGAAAGUGUUUAUAGCCUUUGACUUCUGCAAUCGGAGAGAUUGAGGUCUGCAGCGUAGAUCCUUCGGGGUUAGAUACAUUUGUGCUAAGUUAUAGCUUUUCAUAGACAACUUGUUGACUAUGUUUAGUCUUGUAGCUUACUCGCUUAUGCUAUUUUACCUACGCUUAGGAUGUUGAACUCUAUCACACACAG
RNAcentral lists this ribosomal RNA (776 nucleotides) under uncultured Neocallimastigales. RNAcentral's name for it is "partial large subunit ribosomal RNA". It matches the Rfam family "Eukaryotic large subunit ribosomal RNA", at positions 25 to 628 of the family's 3401-position model. The record is from RNAcentral. Lineage: Eukaryota; Fungi; Neocallimastigomycota; Neocallimastigomycetes; Neocallimastigales.